UUUCCGUAGGUGAACCUGCGGAAGGAUCAUUAUUGAAUCCUUAGGAUGUUGCUGGCCUCUAGGGGCAUGUGCACUCCGCCUUUUCAAUACACCUGUGAACUCAUUGUAGGCGCAGACGUCACAAAUCUGUUGCCUACGUUUUUUUAAACUCCAAAUGUUUAUUGAAUGUAAUGAUGUUGGCAAAACUUAAUACAACUUUCAACAAUGGAUCUCUUGGUUCUCGCAUCGAUGAAGAACGCAGC
Molecule: unclassified non-coding RNA, 242 nt
Filed under: uncultured fungus
Lineage: Eukaryota; Fungi
Description: sequence contains ITS1, 5.8S rRNA gene
Rfam family: 5.8S ribosomal RNA (bases 194-242)
Source: RNAcentral